RNAcentral lists this ribosomal RNA (216 nucleotides) under Glomeromycotina sp. RNAcentral describes it as "partial small subunit ribosomal RNA". The stretch from base 44 to 216 matches the Rfam family "Eukaryotic small subunit ribosomal RNA", at positions 690 to 864 of the family's 1831-position model. Lineage: Eukaryota; Fungi; Glomeromycota. The record is from RNAcentral.
GGGUCAGUAGGUUGGUCGUGCCACCGGUACGUACUGGUCUCACUGAUUCCUCCUUCCUGAAGAACCGUAAUGCCAUUAAUUUGGUGUUGCGGGGAAACAGGACCGUUACUUUGAAAAAAUUAGAGUGUUUAAAGCAAGCUAACGCUUGAAUACAUUAGCAUGGAAUAAUGAAAUAGGACGAUCGAUCCUAUUUCGCUGGUUUCUAGGAUUGACGUA